This 135-nucleotide ribosomal RNA is filed under the name Poa bulbosa. Its description in RNAcentral is "partial 18S ribosomal RNA". It matches the Rfam family "Eukaryotic small subunit ribosomal RNA", at positions 1700 to 1830 of the family's 1831-position model. Lineage: Eukaryota; Viridiplantae; Streptophyta; Magnoliopsida; Poales; Poaceae. The record is from RNAcentral. RNAcentral also lists the same sequence under 4 other names.
GGUGAAGUGUUCGGAUCGCGGCGACUGGGGCGGUUCGCCGCCCCCGACGUCGCGAGAAGUCCAUUGAACCUUAUCAUUUAGAGGAAGGAGAAGUCGUAACAAGGUUUCCGUAGGUGAACCUGCGGAAGGAUCAUU